CAGUAGCCGCGGGAACACGUAGGGUGCAAGCGUUAAUCGGAAUUACUGGGCGUAAAGCGUGCGCAGGCGGUUUGUUAAGACAGAUGUGAAAUCCCCGGGCUCAACCUGGGAACUGCGUUUGUGACUGGCAAGCUAGAGUAUGGCAGAGGGGGGUGGAAUUCCGCGUGUAGCAGUGAAAUGCGUAGAUAUGCGGAGGAACACCGAUGGCGAAGGCAGCCCCCUGGGCCAAUACUGACGCUCAUGCACGAAAGCGUGGGGAGCAAACAGGAUUAGAGACCCGCGUAGUCCCUGUCUCUUAUAC
RNAcentral lists this ribosomal RNA (301 nucleotides) under uncultured bacterium. Its description in RNAcentral is "partial 16S ribosomal RNA". It matches the Rfam family "Bacterial small subunit ribosomal RNA", at positions 509 to 807 of the family's 1533-position model. The record is from RNAcentral.